RNAcentral lists this ribosomal RNA (2900 nucleotides) under Klebsiella pneumoniae subsp. ozaenae. Its description in RNAcentral is "bacterial LSU rRNA". It matches the Rfam family "Bacterial large subunit ribosomal RNA". Lineage: Bacteria; Pseudomonadati; Pseudomonadota; Gammaproteobacteria; Enterobacterales; Enterobacteriaceae. The record is from RNAcentral.
UUAAGCGACUAAGCGUACACGGUGGAUGCCCUGGCAGUCAGAGGCGAUGAAGGACGUGCUAAUCUGCGAAAAGCGUCGGUAAGGUGAUAUGAACCGUUAUAACCGGCGAUGUCCGAAUGGGGAAACCCAGUGCAAUUCGUUGCACUAUCGUUAACUGAAUACAUAGGUUAACGAGGCGAACCGGGGGAACUGAAACAUCUAAGUACCCCGAGGAAAAGAAAUCAACCGAGAUUCCCCCAGUAGCGGCGAGCGAACGGGGAGCAGCCCAGAGUCUGAAUCAGCUUGUGUGUUAGUGGAACGGUCUGGAAAGUCCGACGGUACAGGGUGAUAGUCCCGUACACCAAAAUGCACAGGCUGUGAACUCGAAGAGUAGGGCGGGACACGUGGUAUCCUGUCUGAAUAUGGGGGGACCAUCCUCCAAGGCUAAAUACUCCUGACUGACCGAUAGUGAACCAGUACCGUGAGGGAAAGGCGAAAAGAACCCCGGCGAGGGGAGUGAAAAAGAACCUGAAACCGUGUACGUACAAGCAGUGGGAGCACCUUCGGGUGUGACUGCGUACCUUUUGUAUAAUGGGUCAGCGACUUAUAUUCUGUAGCAAGGUUAACCGUAUAGGGGAGCCGCAGGGAAACCGAGUCUUAACUGGGCGUUAAGUUGCAGGGUAUAGACCCGAAACCCGGUGAUCUAGCCAUGGGCAGGUUGAAGGUUGGGUAACACUAACUGGAGGACCGAACCGACUAAUGUUGAAAAAUUAGCGGAUGACUUGUGGCUGGGGGUGAAAGGCCAAUCAAACCGGGAGAUAGCUGGUUCUCCCCGAAAGCUAUUUAGGUAGCGCCUCGUGAAUUCAUCUUCGGGGGUAGAGCACUGUUUCGGCUAGGGGGUCAUCCCGACUUACCAACCCGAUGCAAACUACGAAUACCGAAGAAUGUUAUCACGGGAGACACACGGCGGGUGCUAACGUCCGUCGUGAAGAGGGAAACAACCCAGACCGCCAGCUAAGGUCCCAAAGUCAUGGUUAAGUGGGAAACGAUGUGGGAAGGCACAGACAGCCAGGAUGUUGGCUUAGAAGCAGCCAUCAUUUAAAGAAAGCGUAAUAGCUCACUGGUCGAGUCGGCCUGCGCGGAAGAUGUAACGGGGCUAAACCAUGCACCGAAGCUGCGGCAGCGACACUAUGUGUUGUUGGGUAGGGGAGCGUUCUGUAAGCCUGCGAAGGUGACCUGUGAGGGUUGCUGGAGGUAUCAGAAGUGCGAAUGCUGACAUAAGUAACGAUAAAGCGGGUGAAAAGCCCGCUCGCCGGAAGACCAAGGGUUCCUGUCCAACGUUAAUCGGGGCAGGGUGAGUCGACCCCUAAGGCGAGGCCGAAAGGCGUAGUCGAUGGGAAACAGGUUAAUAUUCCUGUACUUGGUGUUACUGCGAAGGGGGGACGGAGAAGGCUAUGUUAGCCGGGCGACGGUUGUCCCGGUUUAAGCAUGUAGGCUGGUUGUCCAGGCAAAUCCGGAUAAUCAAGGCUGAGGUGUGAUGACGAGGCACUACGGUGCUGAAGUAACAAAUGCCCUGCUUCCAGGAAAAGCCUCUAAGCAUCAGGUAACAUCAAAUCGUACCCCAAACCGACACAGGUGGUCAGGUAGAGAAUACCAAGGCGCUUGAGAGAACUCGGGUGAAGGAACUAGGCAAAAUGGUGCCGUAACUUCGGGAGAAGGCACGCUGGUGUGUAGGUGAAGUCCCUGCGGAUGGAGCUGAGACCAGUCGAAGAUACCAGCUGGCUGCAACUGUUUAUUAAAAACACAGCACUGUGCAAACACGAAAGUGGACGUAUACGGUGUGACGCCUGCCCGGUGCCGGAAGGUUAAUUGAUGGGGUUAUCCGUAAGGAGAAGCUCUUGAUCGAAGCCCCGGUAAACGGCGGCCGUAACUAUAACGGUCCUAAGGUAGCGAAAUUCCUUGUCGGGUAAGUUCCGACCUGCACGAAUGGCGUAAUGAUGGCCAGGCUGUCUCCACCCGAGACUCAGUGAAAUUGAACUCGCUGUGAAGAUGCAGUGUACCCGCGGCAAGACGGAAAGACCCCGUGAACCUUUACUAUAGCUUGACACUGAACAUUGAGCCUUGAUGUGUAGGAUAGGUGGGAGGCUUUGAAGCGUGGACGCCAGUCUGCGUGGAGCCAACCUUGAAAUACCACCCUUUAAUGUUUGAUGUUCUAACGUUGGCCCCUUAUCGGGGUUGCGGACAGUGUCUGGUGGGUAGUUUGACUGGGGCGGUCUCCUCCCAAAGCGUAACGGAGGAGCACGAAGGUUAGCUAAUCCUGGUCGGACAUCAGGAGGUUAGUGCAAUGGCAUAAGCUAGCUUGACUGCGAGCGUGACGGCGCGAGCAGGUGCGAAAGCAGGUCAUAGUGAUCCGGUGGUUCUGAAUGGAAGGGCCAUCGCUCAACGGAUAAAAGGUACUCCGGGGAUAACAGGCUGAUACCGCCCAAGAGUUCAUAUCGACGGCGGUGUUUGGCACCUCGAUGUCGGCUCAUCACAUCCUGGGGCUGAAGUAGGUCCCAAGGGUAUGGCUGUUCGCCAUUUAAAGUGGUACGCGAGCUGGGUUUAGAACGUCGUGAGACAGUUCGGUCCCUAUCUGCCGUGGGCGCUGGAGAAUUGGAGGGGGGCUGCUCCUAGUACGAGAGGACCGGAGUGGACGCAUCACUGGUGUUCGGGUUGUCAUGCCAAUGGCACUGCCCGGUAGCUAAAUGCGGAAGAGAUAAGUGCUGAAAGCAUCUAAGCACGAAACUUGCCCGAGAUGAGUUCUCCCUGAGACUUUAAGUCUCCUGAAGGAACGUUGAAGACGAUGACGUUGAUAGGCCGGGUGUGUAAGCGCAGCGAUGCGUUGAGCUAACCGGUACUAAUGAACCGUGAGGCUUAACCUU